RNAcentral lists this ribosomal RNA (253 nucleotides) under uncultured bacterium. RNAcentral's name for it is "partial 16S ribosomal RNA". It matches the Rfam family "Bacterial small subunit ribosomal RNA", at positions 524 to 776 of the family's 1533-position model. The record is from RNAcentral.
GACAGAGGGUGCAAACGUUGUUCGGAUUUACUGGGCGUAAAGCGUGUGUAGGCGGCUUGGCAAGUUGGAUGUGAAAGCCCACGGCUCAACCGUGGAAGCGCACCCAAAACUGCUUCGCUCGAGUCUCGGAGAGGAAGGUGGAAUGCUUGGUGUAGAGGUGAAAUUCGUAGAUAUCAAGCAGAACACCUGCGGCGAAGGCGGCCUUCUGGACGAUGACUGACGCUGAGGCGCGAAAGCUAGGGGAGCGAACGGG